UGGCUCAGGACGAACGCUGGCGGCGUGCUUAAUACAUGCAAGUCGAACGAACUCUGGUAUUGAUUGGUGCUUGCAUCAUGAUUUACAUUUGAGUGAGUGGCGAACUGGUGAGUAACACGUGGGAAACCUGCCCAGAAGCGGGGGAUAACACCUGGAAACAGAUGCUAAUACCGCAUAACAACUUGGACCGCAUGGUCCGAGCUUGAAAGAUGGCUUCGGCUAUCACUUUUGGAUGGUCCCGCGGCGUAUUAGCUAGAUGGUGGGGUAACGGCUCACCAUGGCAAUGAUACGUAGCCGACCUGAGAGGGUAAUCGGCCACAUUGGGACUGAGACACGGCCCAAACUCCUACGGGAGGCAGCAGUAGGGAAUCUUCCACAAUGGACGAAAGUCUGAUGGAGCAACGCCGCGUGAGUGAAGAAGGGUUUCGGCUCGUAAAACUCUGUUGUUAAAGAAGAACAUAUCUGAGAGUAACUGUUCAGGUAUUGACGGUAUUUAACCAGAAAGCCACGGCUAACUACGUGCCAGCAGCCGCGGUAAUACGUAGGUGGCAAGCGUUGUCCGGAUUUAUUGGGCGUAAAGCGAGCGCAGGCGGUUUUUUAAGUCUGAUGUGAAAGCCUUCGGCUCAACCGAAGAAGUGCAUCGGAAACUGGGAGACUUGAG
RNAcentral lists this ribosomal RNA (661 nucleotides) under Lactiplantibacillus plantarum. RNAcentral describes it as "bacterial SSU rRNA". It matches the Rfam family "Bacterial small subunit ribosomal RNA", at positions 20 to 646 of the family's 1533-position model. The record is from RNAcentral. Lineage: Bacteria; Bacillati; Bacillota; Bacilli; Lactobacillales; Lactobacillaceae.